GGCCUGUAGGGUUUUUGCAACCGGGCGGGGGUCUCCGGCUGUGCUCCACUGGCGUUUGCGGCAGGCCGGUGACCUACCAGGGCAGCAACUGAAGUGACGGUGUACCUCAGGCGGAGCCGCGGAGGACUUGCCCAGCUGUCUGGAGCCAGUAUCCUGUGCUUUCACAUCUUGAGUUUCCUCAGAGCUCACCUUAAGGAGUGGCUGCAGUCUGAAGUCUUCUAGAUGACUCAAACUGAAACAUCAGAUCUUCCUGGGUCUUGAGCCUGCCAGCCUUCAGAUUGGAACUACACCAUUGGCUCUCCUGGGUCUCCAGUUUGCCAGUUCAUCCUGCAGAUCAUGGGAUUUGUCAGCCUCCAUAAUAGGUUCCUCGACCAGGGAUUUCGGCAGUGACAGCACAGAGCCCUAACCAAUGGGCCACCAGGAAAUUCCCUCCUGUAGCCUUGAAAACUAGAAUUCUUGGUAUGGAAAAAAGGAGCUAGAGAAGACAGAUCAGGCUAUCAUCACAUGAAAAUGGAAGGAGCCUAGGACCUGAAAUGGGCAGUAAAGGAGAGCCGUCCAACCAAGAAUACCUGUGCUCCUGUGUAAGUGAAAAAUAAAUCUUU
This is a long non-coding RNA of Hippopotamus amphibius kiboko, 602 nucleotides long. RefSeq lists it as uncharacterized. Lineage: Eukaryota; Metazoa; Chordata; Mammalia; Artiodactyla; Hippopotamidae. The record is from RefSeq and is a predicted model, not a curated record. The transcript has 5 exons.